UCUGACUAUGCAAAGAUAGAACAGCAGAGAAAAAGCAGAUGCAAACACUGGUGAAACGGCUAAUGUAGCUUGGUCUAUAAAACACAACUGGAAAAA
This is a non-coding RNA of Lonchura striata (white-rumped munia), 96 nucleotides long. NCBI's taxonomy places the organism in Eukaryota, Metazoa, Chordata, Aves, Passeriformes, Estrildidae. The record is from RefSeq and is a predicted model, not a curated record.